GAUGAACGCUGGCGGCGUGCCUAAUACAUGCAAGUCGAGCGAACGGACGAGAAGCUUGCUUCUCUGAUGUUAGCGGCGGACGGGUGAGUCACACGUGGAUAACCUACCUACAAUACUGGGAUAACUUCGGGAAACCGGAGCUAAUACCGGAUAAUAUUUUGAACCGCAUGGUUCAAAAGUGAAAGACGGUCUUGCUGUCACUUAUAGAUGGAUCCGCGCUGCAUUAGCUAGUUGGUAAGGUAACGGCUUACCAAGGCAACGAUGCAUAGCCGACCUGAGAGAGUGAUCGGCCACACUGGAACUGAGACACGGUCCAGACUCCUACGGGAGGCAGCAGUAGGGAAUCGUCCGCAAUGGGCGAAAGCCUGACGGAGCAACGCCGCGUGAGUGAUGAAGGUCUUCGGAUCGUAAAACUCUGUUAUUAGGGAAGAACAUAUGUGUAAGUAACUGUGCACAUCUUGACGGUACCUAAUCAGAAAGCCACGGCUAACUACGUG
RNAcentral lists this ribosomal RNA (497 nucleotides) under uncultured bacterium. RNAcentral describes it as "partial 16S ribosomal RNA". It matches the Rfam family "Bacterial small subunit ribosomal RNA", at positions 28 to 507 of the family's 1533-position model. The record is from RNAcentral.